This is a non-coding RNA of Pristionchus pacificus, 65 nucleotides long. NCBI's taxonomy places the organism in Eukaryota, Metazoa, Nematoda, Chromadorea, Rhabditida, Neodiplogasteridae. The record is from Rfam.
UCUUCAUUUUCCGCACUCUCUCACCGGUCAGAGAGGCGAGAGAGAGAGUGUGCGAAAUGAAGAGA